UACGUAGGGUGCAAGCGUUGUCCGGAAUCAUUGGGCGUAAAGCGCGCGUAGGCGGCCCGAUAAGUCCGCUGUAAAAGUCAACGGCUCAACUGUUGAAAGCCGGUGGAUACUGUCGGGCUAGAGUACGGAAGAGGCAAGUGGAAUUCCUGGUGUAGCGGUGGAAUGUGUAGAGAUCGGGAGGAACACCGGUGGCGAAGGCGGUCUUCUGGACGGUGACUGACGCUGAGGCGCGAAAGCGUGGGGAGCAAACGGG
RNAcentral lists this ribosomal RNA (253 nucleotides) under uncultured bacterium. RNAcentral's name for it is "partial 16S ribosomal RNA". It matches the Rfam family "Bacterial small subunit ribosomal RNA", at positions 524 to 776 of the family's 1533-position model. The record is from RNAcentral.